This 229-nucleotide ribosomal RNA is filed under the name uncultured bacterium. RNAcentral's name for it is "partial 16S ribosomal RNA". It matches the Rfam family "Bacterial small subunit ribosomal RNA", at positions 104 to 334 of the family's 1533-position model. The record is from RNAcentral.
CGGGGUGAGUAAUGUAUGGGGAUCUGCCUGAUGGCGGGGGAUAACUACUGGAAACGGUAGCUAAUACCGCAUAAUGUCUGCGGACCAAAGUGGGGGACCUCCGGGCCUCGCGCCAUCAGAUGAACCCAUAUGGGAUUAGCUUGUAGGUAAGGUAACGGCUUACCUAGGCGACGAUCCCUAGCUGGUCUGAGAGGAUGAUCAGCCACACUGGGACUGAGACACGGCCCAG